Molecule: ribosomal RNA, 393 nt
Filed under: uncultured eukaryote
Lineage: Eukaryota
Description: bacterial SSU rRNA
Rfam family: Eukaryotic small subunit ribosomal RNA
Source: RNAcentral
CAAUAGCGUAUAUUAAAGUUGUUGCAGUUAAAAAGCUCGUAGUUGAACUUCCGGCGUCCUUCGGGCGUCUGCUUACGAAUACCAAAGAAUACUGAUAAAGUUUACUAUUGGAGGGAGGUAAGACCUUUACCGUUGAACAAAAUAAGAGUGCUCAAGACAGGCUAUCGCUUGAAUAAAUACAGCAUGGAAUAAUAAAAUAAGGACUUAAUACCAUUUUAUUUGGUUAUUGGUAUCAAGUAAUGAUUAACAGGAACAGUUGGGGGCAUUUGUAUUUAAUAGUCAGAGGUGGAAUUCUUAGAUUUAUUAAAGACAAACUAAAGCGAAAGCAUUUGCCAAGGAUGUUUUCAUUAAUCAAGAACGAAAGUUAGGGGAUCAAAGAUGAUCAGAUACCAU